RNAcentral lists this ribosomal RNA (740 nucleotides) under uncultured bacterium. Its description in RNAcentral is "bacterial SSU rRNA". It matches the Rfam family "Bacterial small subunit ribosomal RNA", at positions 8 to 788 of the family's 1533-position model. The record is from RNAcentral.
AGAGUUUGAUCCUGGCUCAGGAUGAACGCUAGCGAGAUGCUUUACACAUGCAAGUCAUACGAGAAUCUUUGAUUCAAGUGGCGGACGGGUGAGUAACACGUAAGAAUUUGCCUUUAGGAGGGGGACAACAACUGGAAACGGUUGCUAAUACCCCAUAUGCUUUCGAGUGAAAUGGAUUAUAUCCGCCUAGAGAGAAGCUUGCGGCUGAUUAGCUUGUUGGUGAGGUAAUGGCUCACCAAGGCGACGAUCAGUAUCUGGUUUGAGAGGACGAUCAGACACACUGGAACUGAGACACGGUCCAGACUCCUACGGGAGGCAGCAGUGGGGAAUCUUCCGCAAUGGGCGAAAGCCUGACGGAGCAAUCUCGCGUGAGGGAUGACUGCCUAUGGGUUGUAAACCUCUUUUUUCAGGGAGGAAUAAAUGACGUUACCUGAAGAAUAAGCAUCGGCUAACUCCGUGCCAGCAGCCGCGGUAAUACGGAGGAUGCAAGUGUUAUCCGGAAUCACUGGGCGUAAAGCGUCUGUAGGUGGUUUAAUAAGUCAACUGUUAAAUCUUGAGGCUCAACCUCAAAAUCGCAGUCGAAACUAUUAGACUAGAGUAUAGUAGGGGUAAAGGGAAUUUCCAGUGGAGCGGUGAAAUGCGUAGAGAUUGGAAAGAACACCGAUGGCGAAGGCACUUUACUGGGCUAUUACUGACACUCAGAGACGAAAGCUAGGGUAGCAAAUGGGAUUAGAUACCCC